UUAGGGUUGGCCCUGACCUAGUUUGACCAGUGUCCUUAUGAAAACGCAGAAGUUGGACAAAGACACACCCACAGGGAAAGCACCAUGAGAAGAUGACGGCAGAGAUCUGGGCGACGCGUCUACAAGCCAAGCGACACCAAAGGUGGCCAGCAGCCCAUGUGAAGCUGGAGGAGAGGCCUCGAAUAAAUGCUCCCUUACAGCGUUCAGGGGGAACUGACCCUGUCCACACCUUGACCUUGAACUUCUGGGCUCCAGAACUGUGAGACAGCAUGUUCUGUUGUUGAAGGAGCAGCGUGGCUAGAGGAAUUCCUGCAGCUUAGAUUUCGCUGGCACUGUUACCACUCCCAGAGAGGAGCGGCUGGAGUUCACGGCUGGUUCCUGACAAACUUCCUAAUUAAUCUGCUAAAGAUCAGAGGAGGACUAAUAGGAGCUGAAGACUGUGUGCGAGACCACCCCUCCGCCCUCUCCCUUUGUGUGUGCACGUGUGUGUGUGUGUGUGUGUGAGCGCGUGCGCGCAUGUGGUGCUGAGCUUGGCGGGAGAGAGAUGGCCUCACCAGCGACAAAGCAUUCCUGCUGCUGUUGCUGCCACCUACCUUCCCUGCUUUGGGAGGAUACAUUUUCUCCUCUUGCUUAGAAGUUUCAGGGAGUCACCCAAGCCUUCUUCUCCCAGAUACAACGGUGGAAUAAAAUAUCUUCCAGCCAACAUAUUUUUUGGAGACGGAAUCUCACUCUGUCACCUGGUUGAAGUGCAGCAGCGCGAUCAUGGCUCACUGCAACCUCUGCCUCCCGGUUUCAAGUGAUUCUCCUGCCUCCGCCUCCCGAGUAGCUGGGAUUACAGGCAUGUGCCACCCACCACGCCUGGGUAAUUUUUGUAUUUUUACUAGAGACAGGGUUUCACUAUGUGGGCUGGGCUGGUCUCAAACUCCUGACCUCUGGUGAUCUGCCCACUUCGGCCUCUCAAAGUGCUGGGAUUACAGGCAUGAGCCCCCGCACCCGGUUGCAACCAACUUUUUUGUGGAAUAUAGGAUCUUGAUGUUUGGAUGCCUGAAGGCAGAAGCUGUUGCACAUGGAAUGGAUUAAAGUUUUCCCCUCUGCAACCAAAAAUCCUUGGGGUCCCAGGAGCAAAAGAUGCUCCAUGGCACAGGACAAUUCAAGAAGGCCCGAGGUGAUAUUGAAGACUGCAGAGACAUCCAGCUCAGUUGUGUCUCCGGAGGUGUCCAGACUUUGCAGACAGACGUUGCACAUAAAGAGCUGAAAAACUGAGGAAGCUGAGCUGGAGAAGGAAGUCACUUCUACUCAGACUUGACCUGCGUCUGAUGCUAUGGGGCCUCUUAGGGUUACCUCAUGCUUCAUGCACCCCUUUCUCUGUUCUUCAGCAGAAGGCAGGGUGUAGGGAAGCGGGACUGUGCCUCCUUUCUCCCUGCCAGGCCUGACUCUCCAGGCCAAGAGACACCAUUAAGGAGUAUAAUUUGUUGAUCCAGGCUCUCCUUGCGUUUCAGUGCAGAGUGGCAUCGUUUUCUUUAUGACCUCGUAAAGUCACAGCCGAGAGGCCGAUUUGGAAAACAAACUGCCUCAGGUUGACAGAUAAUUAGAUACAGGGGACAUAUUAUAUGCCUUUGCAUAUAAAUGUGCUCCGAGGCGUGUUGGUUCAUCUGAAGUUGAGGUUAAAGGCGCGCCAGGUAUUCCUGACACAUCAGGAUAUAUAUUUUCAUACAGUCUCAGGUGCUGUGUUGGUUUUAUAGGCCUUUCAUCCUGGUGCUGACGGAUGGGGUGUGAUUGUGACCCAACUUAGAAGAAAGGGACUUCCCUUGCCCAGGGGCCUCCUGGCGUUUUUGUUUUGUGUUCUCCCUCUCCACCCCCACUUUCUCUUCUUCCUUGGGAAGGGAACUGUUCUUUGGACCUAGGAUUCUGCCGUGAGUGACUAAUGGCCUGAGUAGGAGGGACCGGGACUCAUUUUUCUUUUCUGGACUCUAAUAGGCCCAAUUAAUUCAGCUACAACAUGGGCCCUUACAAGCCUGGGACAAGCCUGGGUGGAAUUCUAUAUUGAGGGUAAGAAAAGGGAUGGAAGUAGAUGUUUUCCAGAAGGUUCUGUGGACUCUGGGGGUGACCUGUGGACAGCUGCUGCUGCCCACUACCUGGCAGUUUGGCUAUGUGAUACAUGUCAGCCUUACAAGGAGAUCCCCCUUACCCUGGAAUCUACUUUGGGGGAGCAGAACUUGAGCCUCAGGCAAAUCAGAGACGAGGGGGAAACUUUGCUUUUUCCUCCAGUGGCAGGGAGCUCUGGGCUGGGGAAAUGUCUUUUUGAACACAAAGUUCCAGUUGCAUUCAUCCACAGGAAAAUGUAAAGAGCUUAAUUUAAUGCCCUCUGGGAGUCAUUUCGAUUUAAAAGUGGUAUUAUAGCUUGUGGCUAGAAGAAUGGGCUUAACGGUUAGUCACCUUCUGUUUGGGCAUGUCAUUUAAUCUCUUUGAGGCUGUUUCUUCAUCUUAAAAUAUGAGUGAGAAGGUAGUACCCACCUUACAAUGUGGACAAGAUUAAUUUAGGGAAAACACGUAGCACAGGGCUUCACCCAUGGUAAGUAUUUCAUAAACGGUAACUAUUUUUAACAAUGACAAUUCACAGAGUUAAUCCUAAUAAAAAAUGAUUACAGAAGAGGACGCCUCCACCCACAGGAAGGAGCCAGCACGGUGGGGAGCUGUUUCACCAGGGGAGUGUUCUCAGCAGCUGCCACACGUGGAGUUGUGGAGCAGGAUCUUGGCAGUGGACUGCCACGGGAGCUCUGGGGAAAAAGGACCAGUUGGACUCCAGUACCUCCUGAGAGACCACCACCCUCCAUGCCUCCAGCUCAUGCCCAGCUCUGAGUCAGACGGACUCUUCCUGUUGUACUGCGAGGUUCUGCAAACCUUGAAGGGCAAACACAGUGAGGGUCUCUGACUUGCUGUGUGGACAGCCCACUCUCUGACAGCCCAGAUCAUCUGAAGCUAUCCCUGGGCUGGGAGCUGGAAGCCAUUCUUGUGAACCACUCCUUAUACCUUGAGCGAAGCCUCUUUGGGUCCCAGAAGUCUGAAGCUCCAGCUGCCUGGCAAGACUGAGUCUAGAUGAUUUCUUGGGUACCAGUAGUUUGGCAUUUAAAAAUACUGGAUUAACUGCAGUGUAAACUUAGAUUGCAUUUCAGAUUGUAAACAAUAACCCCCGUGCUUCAUGUGAUGUUAAAUCAGAAAUGAGCUAUUAGCCAAGCUAGUCCUCUUAUGAAUGAGCCCCUAACCCUGAUCCAGGGAUCGUUGAAUGAAAAUCAUCAAAAUGAUUUAUCUUCACUUUACCUAUUGUCUCACAAGAAUCUCAUCACUCAGGGAAAAGGAGGGUGUUCUUCAGGGAACGGAGGGCAUGAGGAAGGGGGAUUUCCUUAUAUCUCAACUUUCAGAGGGAGCUGAGUUGUAAACAGAUGGAACAAGGUGUGUACGAGAAGCCUCUUAGAUUUAGUCUUUCAUAUCAAGGCUCUUGCUGAAAAUCCUGGCACAGCUGUGAAAUGAGGGGAGCUCUGACACACAGAGACACGCUCCUUGCCUCACCAACCUUCCCAUACACAGUCAUGCGCACAGAGAGCAGGUACCAAUACUGAAAAUGCCCUUCCGGAGUUUCCUCAGCUUAAACCCUUGACAGCAUUAAGUGAGGAAGGAGUUUCCUUGACCUGGGGAAGAAGAACCAACUCAUAAACAUGGAACUGUG
Molecule: long non-coding RNA, 3724 nt
Filed under: Homo sapiens (human)
Lineage: Eukaryota; Metazoa; Chordata; Mammalia; Primates; Hominidae
Description: HSALNT0346182
Source: RNAcentral